GACGAACGCUGGCGGCGUGCCUAAUACAUGCAAGUAGAACGCACAGUUUAUACCGUAGCUUGCUACACCAUAGACUGUGAGUUGCGAACGGGUGAGGAACGCGUAGGUAACCUGCCUGGUAGCGGGGGAUAACUAUUGGAAACGCUAGCUAAUACCGCAUAAUAUUAAUUAUUGCAUGAUAAUUAAUUGAAAGGUGCAAUUGCACCACUACCAGAUGGACCUGCGUUGUAUUAGCUAGUAGGUGAGGUAACGGCUCACCUAGGCGACGAGACAUAGCCGACCUGAGAGGGUGGUCGGCCACACUGGGACGGUGACACGGCCCAGACUCCUACGGGAGGCAGCCGUAGGGCAUCUUCGGCAAUAGGCGAAAGUCUGACCGAGCAACGCCGCGUGAGUGAAGAAGGUUGUCGGAUCGUAAAGCUCUGUUGUAAGAGAAGAACGGGUGUGAGAGUGGAAAGUUCACACUGUGACGGUAUCUUACCAGAAAGGGACGGCUAACUACGUG
RNAcentral lists this ribosomal RNA (505 nucleotides) under uncultured bacterium. Its description in RNAcentral is "partial 16S ribosomal RNA". It matches the Rfam family "Bacterial small subunit ribosomal RNA", at positions 28 to 507 of the family's 1533-position model. The record is from RNAcentral.